RNAcentral lists this long non-coding RNA (3327 nucleotides) under Homo sapiens (human). RNAcentral describes it as "HSALNT0388873". Lineage: Eukaryota; Metazoa; Chordata; Mammalia; Primates; Hominidae. The record is from RNAcentral.
GAGAGGCAGAAAUGGAGGUUGGGUCAGGCCUGGCUCAGACCCUAGGCUCUGUCACUGACUGGCUGUGUGGGUCCAGGAAAGUCCUUGUCCUCUCUGGGCCUCAGUUUCCUCUGAAGAAUGGGAGUGAUAAGCUAUGCCCCAUCUCCUUCACCAAAAGGAAGCAAGACCUGAUGGAGCUGCUGGGUAACUGGAGAUGCCUCCUGCUGGCUCCUUUCUGGGGUCCCUGCCUAGCCCUGUCCUCUCCUCUUACUUUCUGCCCUGGCUGAGUAGGCUGUGGCCAUGUGGUUACUGCCUUCUCUGGGCAUAGCUGAUUGCUUCAUAUGGCCUGACCUAAGGCUGCAUGUCCAAAGUCUGGUUGGUGGCCAGUCUAACUCACUUUUGAGAACCUGCACUAAAAGAGGUAGGGGGUGGGAAAAACUGGGCAGGCCAGCGGAGGUGGGGAGUGGCAGCUCUGAGACCUGAAGCCUCAGAACCAGCUCUCCUCCUCCUCUUCCUCCUCAAGAUGGACCUCAACUCACUGAACUCUGGUUCACUCUUUUGGUCCCAGAGCUAAUUCUUUGGUUGUUUAAGGUUUAGCAUAGGAGACCCCAAAGCAGCAAGGUUCUGGCCCUGGUUCUGCCACUUGCCAGCUCCACGCCCUCAGAUCAGUGGCUUCAGAGCCUCAACGUGCUCAGCUGUGAAACAGGGACAGGGUGAGGCCUUCCCAGGUAUGAUCCACUGUGCCCAUCCUGGAUGCAGACUUUAAGCAGAGUCACAUCAACAAGAAGAGCUGUGAAGGUCAGGGCAUGACCCACAGAUGCCCAAACACUGCACUGGAGGUCCAGGAAGAUUCUGCUGACAACGCAACCCUGAGCCAAGAUCUGAAGGAUAAGAGGGAGCUUAUAACAUGGAAGAAGGAACAGUAUUCCUGGCAAGUGGAACAGCAUGUGCAAAGAUGAGGACAUGGGCCCAGAGAGGUUAUGUGAGUGACACAGCUUGAAGGUGGAGUUAAGCCUGGGCAGUCUGGCUUCAGAGUGUCCACAGUCUCAACCACUGCCUCACAUGGCUUCUUAGAAAAUAUUAUAAAAAGAAGCUCGGGCUGCCAUGUGGAAAAGAAUGGAGAGGGGACAAUGACACAGCUGGGAGCAUGCUGUGAUGGUGUACAGCGGACACAUUCAGGAUGAGGUGAAACAGGCUGGCCCUGGUGAGAGGCUAGAUGGGGCUGGGAUGAGGGUGGAGACAAGUAGUCUUGGGGUUGGCUUGGUGCAGCUGGGGGGUGCGGGGAGUGUCUCUGAGGUGAGGCCGGGGGUAUGGGAACGCCAUGUUUGGUCUGGGACACGGUGGGCUUGGGAUGGCUACAGGACAGUGCAGUGGAGAGUCAAAAAGGCUGCUCGGACCCAGGUCUGGCGAGAUGGAAGCUGGAGGUCAGGUGAGCUGUCUAGGAGAGGGACAGAGUGGGAAGGAGAGGGUCUCGACUCGGCUUUCUUGCCAAAGGAGGGUUCCGAAAUGAGAAACUGUGGAAUCUAAGCUGGAGAGGAAGAAAGACGGAGAAUGAGUGAACGCACACGUGUGGGACAGAUAGAUGAAUAUUCAUGUCUUUGGCUCCUAUGUACCUGAGUCUUCUAAAGCUGCAGGCCAUACUACCCCCGGGAGGCUGCAGGGAUGCCAGCUGGGAGAUGAAUGCAACUCUGCUGCCUGGGCAUGGGCCUGAGUGAGGGUGCAGACCCCUGCCUGUGAUCAUCAGGGAGGGUGAUGAGAACAAGGUGGCUGACAGGGUGAGGCCCAAGCCUGGAGCUUACCCAGGUGCGGGGAUGGGAGGGUCAGAGACCUUUGGGGGGUCUUAGGGAGCUUCCCCAGCCCUAAAGGCACCGCAAGCUGCCACUUCACACUGACCUGGGCAUACGCAGCUGCAGGAUCCCUUGCUCGCUCUCUCACAAGCAAAUGUAGACUGCGCAACCAUCCUGACCACAGAUCCAGAAAGCCCAGGACAUAACAGAGCCGCAGUGCCUGCCCUGAUCCACGCGCACACAGAUCUAGCCCAGGAACAAGCCCAUCCACGGUGAGGAACUUGUGGCCCAGUGGCUGGAGCCUCUCACCUGAGCCCUCACUGCCUGAGGACCCCCAGCCUCUGGCCUCAUUUCCCACCCUUUGCCAGCCAGCCUUGGGGACAAAACAGGUCUGGAUCUAAUCCAAGGUCUGGACUCACCCUGACACCCUGUGAACUCAAGGCCUUCCCUACCUCACCCUGGGCCCAGAGCCCCUACCUGUAAAGUGGAAGUGGGAAUGGCCACCAGCCAGGCAGAAACCCUCACUUAGGGCCUCAUGGCCAGGCAUCAGGACAGUCAGGAGAGGGGCCGAGGUAAGCCACAGAGGCCCUGCCUGUCUUGGUAUCCCACCAUCGCCAGGAGGGGACUGCAUGGGCAUCACACCCCUCACAGAUGAACAAAGUGAGGCAGAGAAGGGCCUCAAGAUGAGUUAGGGGCGAGGCCCCAGCUCUGCUGCUGCCCCUUCCCUUAUCACCCCUGCAGCCUGGGAUGCGAGGGUGGCCAGUGACAGACCCCAAGGACUCUAGGCUAAGGUCUCCUUACCUGCGUUCUGUGGCCUGCUCCCCGCCUGCAUGCCGCCUCAUGGGGGUCCUCUGGCUGGCCCAGGAGCACGGUUGGCCCAGCAGAGCAGCUCAGUGUUAUGGGGAAGGGAGGCCCAGCCCACCACGCCGACCGCCUGGGGCCCUAUGUAUAUUUAAUGAUGUCUAUUAUUCCUGUUUUGUCUCUGGAAAGGAGUGAGCAGCUGACAGGGGAGCCACGAACAGCCUGGAGAGCUGAGCAUGGGCCUGCUCCACACUCCAGCGGGGCCCGAGGCCCCCGGGAACUCUACCCCUCCUGGCAGCCUCACAGAACCUGCUGCAUCCAUCUCAAAAGGCAUACCUCCUCCAGGAAGCCUUCCCCGCUGCUCAGAGGUCUUAAAUCCGGGGUCUGCACUCACAAACUGUGCAGCCUACACCAGCUUCUGGGGGACAGCAGAACACUGUGGGGGGCCUGGCACAGUCCCUGGCACACGGUAGGCACUCAUCGAGCCCCUGCCAGCCCCUCUACUCCUGACUUCUGAGGCAACAGGAAAUGACCCGCCACCUUGUUCUCACAGAGCCUCCCUGCCAGCCCAGAUGGUCACAAGGGCCUCCUGGGAUGCUGCCCACCUUGGCAGCCAGGCCCCUCCGGAGGGGCCAGUCUGGGCCUGACACCCCCGAACACCAACCCCCUGGGCAGAGCCUGCCUGUGCCUGGGUGAGGAACCCUGCAGUCUCCUUGCCACACAAGGCCUGGGUCUGCCUUGGGGCCCAGGCUGCACCCUC